AAUAAUGCAGCCCAUAUUUAUGUUAAUAUAAAUAAAACACUUAGCACAGGUCUUGCCACAGUAGGGGCUCUAGUCACUCAUUCCCACUCCCUGUGCACGUGGCAGGGAGCUGACGGGCCUGGGGGAGGCCCAGCUCAGGUGCCAAGAUGGCUUUCCCUGCCAGCCCCUCCGGCUGAAAGAAUGGAGACUCCAGAUUUGAACAAACCUCCAAAUCUUCAUGGCUCCGGCAUAGAAAUUAUUCGUUCCUAUGUUCGUGCCUCCAUUUAUUCACCAAAAACUCGCUGGCUCUGAAGCGGUGCAGUGGGGGACCUGGAAAGAGCAUUCUAGUAAACUCAGAGUUCUUUGGAUAACAGGUUCAUUUAUUCACAAACCCUCCAUGAGCACCCACUGCCUGCCCUGGGAGCACAGGUGGGACAGAGUCACAGGAAAGGUGCACACAGGCGGCCUGGGAGCCAGGUCUGGGGGCGAAGAAGAGCCAGGGAUAGAGAAAAGCAAGGCCAGACUCCUCCUGGGGACACAUCAGGAGGGUGCCCGUCAGGGAAGUCUGGACUCUGCUCCUUGAGAAAACAAGGAGUCCAGUCCCACCCCCGCCACUCCCGAGCUGGGUGACCUCAAGCAGGCACCCCGCCUACUCAGGCACCUCAAUUCCCUCACUCUAAAAUGGGAAUGAUAAUUACACCUGCUCGUGAAAAUUAAAUGAAAUAGUGAGUGGAAAGUGCUGAGCACGGUGGCUGGCCCAGAUAUCAUUUCAAGUACCAUUUCAUCAUCAGGGCCAUUAUCAUCCAUCCUCAGACACCACCAGCCAACCCAGUCCAGCACGCUUCUCUGCAUCAGCAAAGAGGCCGAAACCCAACCCUGCCGCCAAGAGCGGGGCCGGGCUGGGGCGGAAAAGGAAGCUCCAUUCUUGAGCAGACACUCUGCUGGCCCCGGGUCUGCCCUCUGCCAGGGCGGGAGGCAGCGUGCUGUGAAAUACACGGAUCCCCCUCGAUGUGUCUGGAAACCUCCUGGGCGUUGCUCCCUGGAGAGCAGAUGCACGGGGGUGGCGCGGGGGUGAGUCAUGGCAGCGGGAGAGCCCUGCUCUGCUCCUCCCUGUCGGCCCGAGUCAGCGCCCAGCCUUGGGCCAAAGGGAUGCCAGGGUCUGAUCCCUUCUCCGCCACUCCCCCAGAGUGAGUCACGGGGCGGAGGGGCAUGCGCUUCCCCUCCCCCUCCUUUCCCGGGUCUGGCCGGUUUGGCCAAGUCCUGACUGGGCAGGGCCUAAGGAGAAGGACGUCUUCAGGCCCCUGGGCAGCAGGAAUCCGCUGAUUUGCUGGGUUUUAAUUUGGGGGAUUUCACUGCCAGCGAUGGAAUUGGGGCCUCACUGCUGCAGACUCUGUGUAACCUCAAAUGUCUUUCACCCAUCUUGUUUUUAAAAUGUUUUAAAAUGUUUUAAUUAUAGUUGAUUCACAAUGUUAUCAGGAGUCCCCAUCAUGGUGCAGUGGAAACGAAACCGGCUGUGUCCAUGAGGAUGCAGGUUCAAUCCCUGGCCUUGCUCAGUGGGUUAAGGAUCCAGCACUACUGUGAGCUGUGAUGUAGGUCACAGAUGCGGCUGGGAUCUGGUGGUGCUGUGGCUAUGGUGGAAGCUGACAGCUGUAGCUUCAAUUCAACCCCUAGCCUGGGAACUUCCAUAUGCCACAGGCUUAGCCAAAAAAAAAAAGACUGACAAUACCAAGUGUUACUGAAGAUGUGGAAGAAUGAGUAACUUUUAUACGCUGCUAGUGGGAUCUAAAAUGGUACAACCACUUUGGAGGAACUUCCACGUGCCACGGGUGUAGCCAUUAAAAAAGAAAAAAAAAAAAGAAAGGGAGUUUCCACUGUGGCUCAGUGGAAAUCAUUCCAACCAGUAUCCAUGAGGAUGUGGGCUCCAUCCCUGGCCUCACUUAGAACCUCGAGCUUCAGGGUAGGUUACAGACGCAGCCUGGAUCCAGUGUUACUGUGGCUGGGGUGUAGGCUGACAGCAGUAGCUCCAAUUCGAUCCCUAGCCUGGGAAUUUCCAUAUGCCACAGGCACAACCCUAAAAAGAAAAAAAAAAUUGUACACAACUGGUCAUAGCAGCUUUAUUAAUUAGUCCUAAACUGUAAACAAAUGAAAUGUCCUUCAAGGGGUGAAUGGUUAAAAAAAUUCGAGUACAUCCACACUAUGGAAUACUACUCAGCAAUAAAAAAUGAACUACUGAUAUAUGAAUGAAUCUCUCUCUAUAUAUAUAUUUACUUAUUUUAUUUUGGCCAUACCGAGGCAUGUGGAAGUUCCAUCGAACCCAAGUCACAGCAGCAACCAGAAUUACAGCAGUGACAAUGCUGGAUCCUUGUAACCCAUCAAGCCACCAGGGAACUCCUGAAUCUCAAAAUAUUAAUGCUGAGUGGAAGACAGAGAAAAAUAAAAAACAAAAACACACCACACUGUUUGAAUCCAUUUAAAGAAAAUUCUAGAAAAUGCCAACUAAUCGUGUAGCAACAGAAAGCAGAUUAGUGGUUGCUUGGGGACAGGAGAGGGGGAGGGGAAGAGACAGGAGGGAAGGAUUAGAGAGAGGAGCAAGGAAAUUUUAGGGGGUGAUGGUUUCAUAUAAAACAUCAAAACAUAUCAAAUUAUAAUCUUUAAGUAUGUGCAGCUUAUCAACUAUCAAUUAUUCCUCAGUAAAGCUAUUGGACAAGACAAAGUCCCUGCCCUCACCAGGCUCAAAUCCUAGUGGUCAGGAUAAACAGUAAGCCUGAUAAACACUGAGAAAAAUACCCCCUGGGGAAACAAAACAGGGCAACACAGUGAGCACAGGACAGAAGGUGAGUGAAGGGGGACACUUCUCAGCAGGUGGCAGCUCCUCCGGUCUCUGAGCACCCCCAGCCCCCAGGCAGCCCCCUUCCUUCUCUGAAGGCUCUCAGAGGCUGAGUGGCUUUGCACAAAUCCCAGCCUCUCUGUAGCUCAGCUUUCUCAGCCAUAUGGUAGGGAGACAGAGCUGUGCCCAGCUCAUUCCAUAAGGGGCCCCACGUGGUCAGUUCUCUGCCCAAGGGGGCCUCUCACCUUGGCCUGGCUGGAUUUGGGGACAAGCAGAGGACCUGGGGUUGUCUUCUGGGGAGGGGGCGUGGUUUGGAGCAGUGGGCACCCCUUUGCAGCACAGCUUGCAGAGGCAGGAUGAGCUGAGGUGUGCCAGGGCAGGGGACAGGCCAGGUUGGCCUGAGGCCCAGAGAGGCGGGGCAGGAGGUCAUUGGCCAUGGGCAAGGAGCCCAUUUGGCCCUCUCUCUGGACACAAUGUCCUGGACUGCUUCACAGCUUGGCUGGCCGACAGGGAACAGUGGCUGGCAGAGGAUUCGGGCAGCCGGCCAACUGAGGGGGAGCAGCCCAGCUUGAGCAAAGGGCUGGUUCUUACACCCAGACCUGCCACCUUGGGCAAGAAGAGGACCAGCUUGUCCAGAAGGCAGGUAGAGGGCGGACCUCAGCAAUCCCUUCCUACCCUGUGCCUUAGUUGCCUCAUACCACCUGCGGCUGCCAUCCCUUGAGCUAAGCCCUCCAAGAAUUAGAACCCUGCCCCUAGUCCUGGAUUCUAAACUCUGGUCCGGCCCCUCGCUGCUGUGGCCUUAGGCAGUUCACAGCCUUCCUGAGACACAGAACUCCACCUGAAAAAUGGUAUCUACUUCUUUGGGUUUCAAUCCUUGGAAAGCAUUUAGGAUAGUUACCCUCAUAGAGGAAGCCCUUGAUGGAACAGUCUGCUAUAAUUACUCCAUUAGAGCAACAAUAAUAAUGUUUAUACACUGAGGGCCUCCUGGGUGCCAGGAGCUUUACCUACACUGCCCUGAAGCCCCAGCAGCUACCCAAAGACAGGUUUUAUCACCCUCAUUUUGUAGGUAAGGAAACUGAGCUCCAAAGCAAAGUGGCCAGCUGAUAUCAGGGCGCAGUGGCUCUCCCCGUGGGAACCUACCGUGGGCAAAAGGAUAAGCGCCUAUUGGGCAGACACCCCCGGCAGAGCGGAACCAGGGAGGGGCUGAGGGGGUACUAGACACUCAGCAGUGGAACCCAGAGACCUUGCUUGCUUCCCACAGAACUCUACUGGUGGAGAACAGACAAGACCCUGAUACACGAGCCAGGGUGCUCAGCAAGGGUUAGGGGCAGCUGGGGGAGCGAAGCAUUCAUUUAUUCAUUCAGCAAACACCGAUGGAGGGAAAUAGAGUCGGUGCUACUGUGCAUGGUCUCUGGAACCCAACUGCUAAAUUCUGGACUCAAGGCAUUGUCACUUGGGAGGUGAGCAGCCUAGGGACUCCCAGUUCCCCCAUUGAAAGUGCCUUUGUCCCCGAGCAAACCAGGACAGUCCAUCACCCUUCCUGGAGGAGAUACUCCACCUCUUAGUUUUCUUAACUGUAAAAGGACACCAAAUCUACCUCAAAUUGCUGUUUUAAAGGCAAAAUGAACAUAAAGCCCUGGGCUAACACUCCAGGCCCGAUAAAGGGGAGCAGGGAUAGAGGUAUUUCAUUUCAUCCCUGCAGAGGGAGCCAAGUGUGAUCACCCUCACUUUGCAGAUGAAGAGACUGAGGCGCCCAUCAUGUCUCAGCAGCACAGGGGUCUGGGCAGCUACUGCUCUCAUCCCAAAGCCUGCUCUUUAAGUUGCUCUUAAACAGGUGUUAGUGAGGCACCCCCAGGGGCUCCCAGGGGGUCUUGUGUGAGGCCAGCUGGGCAGGGCCUGCUGUGCUGCAGCAGCAGGCCCCCGGCAGCUGUGGGCUGGUCCACAGGGCUGACCUGCACCACGUGUUCCCUGGGCAAAGCCCAAGGUCCACUGGGAGCUGACUGGCCCAGUAGGGCACCACCUAUCAGCCCAGGGCCAGGCCCAGGUUCUGAACUGUGCCAGGUCCUAGGAGGGGUGAGCGGAGUUUAAGGAUAUUUCAGUUACCUUGCUAAGUACUUAGCAUGCGCUGACAUGUGGGGUUCUUCCCUAGACAUUAGGAGGGUCCAUGAUCAGUCCCAUUUUAUAGGUGGGGACAAAGAGGCUCAGAGAGGAAGUUUACCCAAGGUCAUCCAGGGGGUAGAGGGCGGAGCCAGUCACCUCUGGGCUUCACUGUCAGACUUAAGAACUCACAAUACUGGGGGCCCUGACGCACUGGGAUGGGAGAGGCAGCUGUGGAUGUCACCUUAGCCAGACGUCAGGGCCAGGCAGGGAACCUUUGUUCGGGGGAAGAAGCCAUGGCCCCAGGCAGAGCCUGGGCUCUCGCUGCAGUCUGGGCUCCCCUGGCGGCCCAAGGAUCCCAGAAAGGCGGU
This 5274-nucleotide long non-coding RNA is filed under the name Sus scrofa (pig). RNAcentral describes it as "lncRNA (ENSSSCG00050049963.1)". The record is from RNAcentral. Lineage: Eukaryota; Metazoa; Chordata; Mammalia; Artiodactyla; Suidae.